ACACAAUAAGUAAUCCACCUGGGGAGUACGACCGCAAGGUUGAAACUCAAAGGAAUUGACGGGGGCCCGCACAAGCAGUGGAGUAUGUGGUUUAAUUCGAUGAUACGCGAGGAACCUUACCCGGGCUUGAAAUGCGGCGGACCGGCAGAGAGAUCUGCCUUCCCUUCGGGGCCGCCGUGUAGGUGCUGCAUGGUUGUCGUCAGCUCGUGCCGUGAGGUGUCGGCUUAAGUGCCAUAACGAGCGCAACCCUCAUCAUUAGUUACUAACAGGUCAUGCUGAGGACUCUAGUGAGACUGCCAUCGUAAGAUGCGAGGAAGGUGGGGAUGACGUCAAAUCAGCACGGCCCUUACGUCCGGGGCGACACACGUGUUACAAUGGGUGGUACAAAGGGCAGCUACCUGGCGACAGGAUGCUAAUCUCCAAAACCACUCUCA
RNAcentral lists this ribosomal RNA (434 nucleotides) under uncultured bacterium. RNAcentral describes it as "bacterial SSU rRNA". It matches the Rfam family "Bacterial small subunit ribosomal RNA", at positions 855 to 1290 of the family's 1533-position model. The record is from RNAcentral.